UUGAUUCUCUGCUAAAACCCUACUCUCGAUUCGGCUGCGGAGGUACGAUGUGUCGGGGAUGGCAAGAAAAAGGGCUCGGCCUUCGUGAUCGGCUGCGCUGGAGAAAUUCCUCCAUGAGAGGAUCGAGGUCGGUGGCGGUAAGGUUGUCACCCUAGGAGACGCCGGAACAGUCACUAGGAACAAGAGCAGGCUCAUGGUCACCACGGAGAUGCAGAAGUAUGACAACAUUGAGCAAACAGUCUUCCUUCAGUUUGUGGUGGUCUACAUUAGAAAUAGAGGAGCUCUUCUUCAUCCUUUGCUCUACCAAUGAUGGCACCAAUGAAGAGGCGUCGUCCCUUGACAAACGAUGUUGGUGGAAUGCAGCUGUCGAUAAAGAGGCCUUCAAUUCUAAGGCAAAGCAAAAGGACGCAACUAAACCCCUCAAGGUGAAACUGCUGACUUGAGGGCGAACCAUUGCGCAUUCGGUAAAGAGGCCUUUCAUUGUUUUGCUACUCUUUUUUAUGACUUCAAAAGUUGUUGACGAUUGGAAUGCCCCAGUUAGGUUUUUAUUGUUUCGGGCAAAUCAUUACAAUCUUACAUUGGAAGUUAAGGUGUCUCAAAUCAUGAUGUUUCGUGCUC
Zingiber officinale is the source of this 618-nucleotide long non-coding RNA. RefSeq lists it as uncharacterized. The transcript has 2 exons. The record is from RefSeq and is a predicted model, not a curated record. NCBI's taxonomy places the organism in Eukaryota, Viridiplantae, Streptophyta, Magnoliopsida, Zingiberales, Zingiberaceae.